UUUAAAAUCUGGCGGUCUCCGGCCGUCCGAGUUGUAAUUUAGAGAAGCGUUAUCCGUGCUGGACCGUGUAUAAGUCUCCUGGAAUGGAGCGUCAUAGAGGGUGAGAAUCCCGUCUUUGACACGGACUACCAGUGCAUUGUGAUGCGCUCUCGACGAGUCGAGUUGUUUGGGAAUGCAGCUCAAAAUGGGUGGUAAAUGCCAUCUAAAGCUAAAUAUUGGCGAGAGACCGAUAGCGAACAAGUACCGUGAGGGAAAGAUGAAAAGAACUUUGGAAAGAGAGUUAAACAGUACGUGAAAUUGUCGAAAGGGAAACGGUUGCAGUCAGUCGCGUCCGCCGGGGAUCAACCUUGCUUUUGCUUGGCGUAUUUCCCGGUGGAUGGGUCAGCAUCAGUUUUGACCGCAGUUGAAAGGCUGGAGGAAUGUGGCACCUUCGGGUGUGUUAUAGCCUCCUGUCAUAUGCUGCGGUUGGGACUGAGGAACUCAGCACGCCGCAAGGCCGGGAUUCGUCCACGUUCGUGCUUAGGAUGCUGGCAUAAUGUCUGUAACCGACCCGUCU
Molecule: ribosomal RNA, 556 nt
Filed under: Schizophyllum commune
Lineage: Eukaryota; Fungi; Basidiomycota; Agaricomycetes; Agaricales; Schizophyllaceae
Description: partial large subunit ribosomal RNA
Rfam family: Eukaryotic large subunit ribosomal RNA
Source: RNAcentral